RNAcentral lists this ribosomal RNA (459 nucleotides) under uncultured bacterium. RNAcentral describes it as "partial 16S ribosomal RNA". It matches the Rfam family "Bacterial small subunit ribosomal RNA", at positions 338 to 795 of the family's 1533-position model. The record is from RNAcentral.
CCUACGGUGGGCUGCAGUGAGGAAUAUUGGUCAAUGGGCGCGAGCCUGAACCAGCCAAGUCGCGUGAGGGAAGACGGUCCUAUGGAUUGUAAACCUCUUUUGUCGGGGAGCAAAAGACGCCACGCGUGGCCUUCCGAGAGUACCCGAAGAACAAGCAUCGGCUAACUCCGUGCCAGCAGCCGCGGUAAUACGUAGGAUGCGAGCGUUAUCCGGAUUUAUUGGGUUUAAAGGGUGCGCAGGCGGAAGAUCAAGUCAGCGGUAAAAUUGAGAGGCUCAACCUCUUCGAGCCGUUGAAACUGGUUUUCUUGAGUGAGUGAGAAGUAUGCGGAAUGCGUGGUGUAGCGGUGAAAUGCAUAGAUAUCACGCAGAACUCCGAUUGCGAAGGCAGCAUACCGGCGCUCAACUGACGCUCAUGCACGAAAGUGUGGGUAUCGAACAGGAUUAGAUACCCUAGUAGUC